Molecule: ribosomal RNA, 183 nt
Filed under: Fellomyces penicillatus
Lineage: Eukaryota; Fungi; Basidiomycota; Tremellomycetes; Tremellales; Cuniculitremaceae
Description: partial 26S rRNA
Source: RNAcentral
CCCGUGUAUUCCCUNGGACGGGUCAACGUCAGUUUGAUCCGGUGGAAAAGGGCGGUGAGAAGGUAGGGCUCCGGCCGUGUUAUAGCUNGCCGUCGCACACGCUGGGUCAGACUGAGGAAUGCAGCUCGCCUUCAUGGCCGGGGUUCGCCCACGUACGAGCUUAGGAUVUUGACAUAAUGGCUU